This 114-nucleotide small RNA is filed under the name Escherichia coli. RNAcentral describes it as "partial RtT sRNA". It matches the Rfam family "RtT RNA", at positions 22 to 130 of the family's 130-position model. From Rfam's summary of the family: This family represents a bacterial cis-regulatory element known as RtT RNA. The exact function of RtT is unknown although it is thought that it may be involved in changing the cellular response in relation to amino acid starvation. Lineage: Bacteria; Pseudomonadati; Pseudomonadota; Gammaproteobacteria; Enterobacterales; Enterobacteriaceae. The record is from RNAcentral.
AUGAGAACCUCCGGGGGCAGGGAGGUUCGACUCGAGCGAAGCGAGAGAACGUUGCGCCAGCAACGGCCCGCAGGGCGAGCCACGAAGUGGCGAGUAAUCCUCUAUCACCGACCA